RNAcentral lists this long non-coding RNA (589 nucleotides) under Nicotiana benthamiana. RNAcentral describes it as "long non-coding RNA (NBEN_LNC037935)". Lineage: Eukaryota; Viridiplantae; Streptophyta; Magnoliopsida; Solanales; Solanaceae. The record is from RNAcentral.
GCCGGAAAACUGGAACACUGUAUCGCCGGAAAAAGUACUGUAGCUGCUGGAAAAAUUCAAAGUUGUCGGAAUUCAAAAAUAAAAAUAUGGAUAGGCUCGGAAUUCAAGGGUGAGCAGACUGUCCUGAAGAAAUUCUGGCCGGAAAGUACUGUAGCUGCCGGAAAAGUCAAUAAAGUCGCUGGAAAAAACUCAAAGUUGUCGGAAUCGAACGAAAAAAGAAUGGGUAGGGUCGGAAUUGAAGGGUGAGCAAACUGUCAUGAAGGAGUCACCGGAAAAAAUGGCCGGAAGUGGUGCCACGCGCCGGCGCGUGGGCUCACGCGCCGAAGGUGUUGGCGGCGCGUGGGGGCGCGUGUGUGGUUCUUUUCCGGUGAUUUUUUCUGGGGUUGGUCGGAAUUCUCUUCCGAACCUCGUGGUGGUCUCGGAUUUUGCACAACACCAGUUAGUUAUGGACAGCCUCUUAAGUCGCCGGAAAAUUGCACGGCGACGAGUUCUUUCUUCCCGGAAGUAGCUGGAAUGACGCACAGCUAUCAUAUUCUCACCAAAGCUCUGAUACCAUGUGAGAAAGAACGGGAGAAAAAUAUAUAUCUUG